CACAACCACAACUACAACACCAACAGUCUGAUCUGAAAAGAACACAAUGAUCAUAUUCUUCUGUUUAAUGUGGAAAGUGAUGCUGGUUUCAGGUUCUUCAGUCCAACAGAAUCCACCUCAUAUUUACAAGAAACAAGGAGAAAAAGCUGAAAUCACCUGUUCACAUCAAAUCGACAGCUACAAUGUGAUCCUCUGGUACAGACGAUCAAACAACAAUGAGCUGAAGCUUCUGGGAUAUAUGUUUAUGGACAGUCAAAACCCUGAACCUGGAGUGACUGUGAAGAUGAUUGGAAGUGCAAAUAAAGGUGGCAGUAUAUCUGUACUGAGCAGCAGGAGGAUGAUGCAUGAAGACACCACCCACCCAACAUUUACAUCCAACAACCAACGACACAGUUUAUCACAAUAAACACACAACCACAACUACAAC
Molecule: non-coding RNA, 427 nt
Organism: Sphaeramia orbicularis (orbiculate cardinalfish)
Lineage: Eukaryota; Metazoa; Chordata; Actinopteri; Kurtiformes; Apogonidae
Source: the annotation of a RefSeq genome assembly